Molecule: ribosomal RNA, 460 nt
Filed under: uncultured bacterium
Lineage: Bacteria
Description: partial 16S ribosomal RNA
Rfam family: Bacterial small subunit ribosomal RNA
Source: RNAcentral
CCUACGGGAGGCAGCAGUGAGGAAUAUUGGUCAAUGGACGGAAGUCUGAACCAGCCAUGCCGCGUGCAGGAAGACGGCUCUAUGAGUUGUAAACUUCUUUUGUACAAGGGUAAACCUGAACACGUGUAUUUAGCUGAAUGUACUGUACGAAUAAGGAUCGGCUAACUCCGUGCCAGCAGCCGCGGUAAUACGGAGGAUCCAAGCGUUAUCCGGAUUUAUUGGGUUUAAAGGGUGCGUAGAUGGAUUGAUAAGUUAGUGGUGAAAUGUCCGGGCUUAACCCGGGAACUGCCUCUAAUACUGGUGAUCUAGAGAGUAGAUGCGGUAGGCGGAAUGUAUGGUGUAGCGGUGAAAUGCUUAGAGAUCAUACAGAACACCGAUUGCGAAGGCAGCUUACCAAUCUAUAUCUGACAUUGAGGCACGAAAGCGUGGGGAGCAAACAGGAUUAGAUACCCUAGUAGUC